GACGAACGCUGGCGGCGUGCUUAACACAUGCAAGUCGAACGGAAAGGCCCUGCUUUUGUGGGGUGCUCGAGUGGCGAACGGGUGAGUAACACGUGAGUAACCUGCCCUUGACUUUGGGAUAACUUCAGGAAACUGGGGCUAAUACCGGAUAGGAGCUCCUGCUGCAUGGUGGGGGUUGGAAAGUUUCGGCGGUUGGGGAUGGACUCGCGGCUUAUCAGCUUGUUGGUGGGGUAGUGGCUUACCAAGGCUUUGACGGGUAGCCGGCCUGAGAGGGUGACCGGCCACAAUGGGACUGAGAGACGGACCAGACUCCUACGGGAGGCAGCAGUGGGGAAUAUUGCACAAUGGGCGGAAGCCUGAUGCAGAAACGCCGCGUGCGGGAUGACGGCCUUCGGGUUGUAAACCGCUUUCGCCUGUGACGAAGAGUGAGUGACGGUAAUGGGUAAAGAAGCACCGGCUAACUACGUG
This 468-nucleotide ribosomal RNA is filed under the name uncultured bacterium. RNAcentral describes it as "partial 16S ribosomal RNA". It matches the Rfam family "Bacterial small subunit ribosomal RNA", at positions 28 to 507 of the family's 1533-position model. The record is from RNAcentral.